Molecule: small nuclear RNA, 188 nt
Organism: Artibeus jamaicensis (Jamaican fruit-eating bat)
Lineage: Eukaryota; Metazoa; Chordata; Mammalia; Chiroptera; Phyllostomidae
Product: U2 spliceosomal RNA
Exons: 1
Source: RefSeq, a predicted model, not a curated record
AUUGCUUCUCGGCCUUUUGGCUAAGAUCAAGUGUAAAUCUGCCUAGCUUUGAGGGCUAUGGUAACGAGUAAAUGAGAUUAUAUGUAUUCUCACAUAUAUGACUGGAGAGCAGGGUUAUGACAAAGUCAUGGUCAAGGUAUGGAAUGUUUUAUAGAAAAUACAAGUAUUGUUUUAGAAAUCAAACUUUA